AUUGAACGCUGGCGGCAUGCCUUACACAUGCAAGUCGAACGGCAGCACGGGUGCUUGCACCUGGUGGCGAGUGGCGAACGGGUGAGUAAUACAUCGGAACGUACCUUAUCGUGGGGGAUAACGCAGCGAAAGCUGUGCUAAUACCGCAUACGCCCUGAGGGGGAAAGCGGGGGAUCGAAAGACCUCGCGCGAUUAGAGCGGCCGAUGCCUGAUUAGCUUGGUGGUGGGGUAAAAGCCCACCAAGGCGACGAUCAGUAGCUGGUCUGAGAGGACGAUCACGAACACUGGGACUGAGACACGGCCCAGACCCCUACGGGAGGCAGAAGUGGGGAAUUUUGGACAAUGGGGGCAACCCUGAUCCAGAAAUGCCGCGGGAGUGAAGAGGGCCUUCGGGUUGUAAAGCUCUUUUGUCAGGGAAGAAACACCGGCUCUAACACAGUCCGGGAAUGACGGUACCUGAAGAAUAAGCACCGGCUAACUACGUGCCAGCCGCCGCGGUAA
This 501-nucleotide ribosomal RNA is filed under the name uncultured bacterium. RNAcentral describes it as "partial 16S ribosomal RNA". It matches the Rfam family "Bacterial small subunit ribosomal RNA", at positions 29 to 523 of the family's 1533-position model. The record is from RNAcentral.